Molecule: ribosomal RNA, 588 nt
Filed under: uncultured bacterium
Lineage: Bacteria
Description: partial 16S ribosomal RNA
Rfam family: Bacterial small subunit ribosomal RNA
Source: RNAcentral
UGGGGAAUUUUGGACAAUGGGGGCAACCCUGAUCCAGCCAUCCCGCGUGUGCGAUGAAGGCCUUCGGGUUGUAAAGCACUUUUGGCAGGGAAGAAACAGCCUGGGAUAAUACCCCGGGCGACUGACGGUACCUGCAGAAUAAGCACCGGCUAACUACGUGCCAGCAGCCGCGGUAAUACGUAGGGUGCAAGCGUUAAUCGGAAUUACUGGGCGUAAAGCGUGCGCAGGCGGUUCGGAAAGAAGGGGUGUGAAAUCCCAGGGCUUAACCUUGGAACUGCACUUUUAACUACCGAGCUAGAGUACGUCAGAGGGGGGUAGAAUUUCACGUGUAGCAGUGAAAUGCGUAGAGAUGUGGAGGAAUACCGAUGGCGAAGGCAGCCCCUGGGAUGAUACUGACGCUCAUGCACGAAAGCGUGGGGAGCAAACAGGAUUAGAUACCCUGGUAGUCCACGCCCUAAACGAUGUCAACUAGCUGUUGGGGCUUUUAUUAACCUUAGUAGCGCAGCUAACGCGUGAAGUUGACCGCCUGGGGAGUACGGUCGCAAGAUUAAAACUUAAAGUGAAUUGACGGGGGUCAUAGCUGUUUUU